UGGGGAAUAUUGCACAAUGGGCGCAAGCCUGAUGCAGCCAUGCCGCGUGUAUGAAGAAGGCCUUCGGGUUGUAAAGUACUUUCAGCGGGGAGGAAGGCGAUAAGGUUAAUAACCUUGUCGAUUGACGUUACCCGCAGAAGAAGCACCGGCUAACUCCGUGCCAGCAGCCGCGGUAAUACGGAGGGUGCAAGCGUUAAUCGGAAUUACUGGGCGUAAAGCGCACGCAGGCGGUCUGUCAAGUCGGAUGUGAAAUCCCCGGGCUCAACCUGGGAACUGCAUUCGAAACUGGCAGGCUAGAGUCUUGUAGAGGGGGGUAGAAUUCCAGGUGUAGCGGUGAAAUGCGUAGAGAUCUGGAGGAAUACCGGUGGCGAAGGCGGCCCCCUGGACAAAGGCUGACGCUCAGGUGCGAAAGCGUGGGGAGCAAACA
This 427-nucleotide ribosomal RNA is filed under the name uncultured bacterium. RNAcentral describes it as "partial 16S ribosomal RNA". It matches the Rfam family "Bacterial small subunit ribosomal RNA", at positions 355 to 774 of the family's 1533-position model. The record is from RNAcentral.